CUCCUACGGAAGGCAGCAGUGGGGAAUCGUUGCACAAUGGGGGCAACCCGUGAUGCAGCGACGCCGCGUGAACGAUGAAGCCCUUCGGGGUGUAAAGGUUCUUUCGGCAGGGACGAGUAAUGACGGUACCUGAAGAAGAAGCUGCGGCUAACUACGUGCCAGCAGCCGCGGUAAUAC
RNAcentral lists this ribosomal RNA (177 nucleotides) under uncultured bacterium. RNAcentral describes it as "partial 16S ribosomal RNA". It matches the Rfam family "Bacterial small subunit ribosomal RNA", at positions 336 to 526 of the family's 1533-position model. The record is from RNAcentral.